Molecule: non-coding RNA, 114 nt
Organism: Xylella fastidiosa
Lineage: Bacteria; Pseudomonadati; Pseudomonadota; Gammaproteobacteria; Lysobacterales; Lysobacteraceae
Source: Rfam
CCUGGUGAUAUUAGCGCUGUGGAACCACCCGAUCCCAUCCCGAACUCGGAAGUGAAACGCAGCUGCGCCGAUGGUAGUGUGGGUUUCCCAUGCGAGAGUAGGUCAUUGCCAGGG